GUGUCAGCAGCCGCGGUAAUACGAAGGGGGCUAGCGUUGCUCGGAAUCACUGGGCGUAAAGCGCACGUAGGCGGAUCUUUAAGUCAGGGGUGAAAUCCCGGAGCUCAACUCCGGAACUGCCUUUGAUACUGGGGAUCUUGAGUUCGAGAGAGGUGAGUGGAACUGCGAGUGUAGAGGUGAAAUUCGUAGAUAUUCGCAAGAACACCAGUGGCGAAGGCGGCUCACUGGCUCGAUACUGACGCUGAGGUGCGAAAGCGUGGGGAGCAAACAGGAUUAGAUACCCGCGUAGUCC
RNAcentral lists this ribosomal RNA (292 nucleotides) under uncultured bacterium. RNAcentral describes it as "partial 16S ribosomal RNA". It matches the Rfam family "Bacterial small subunit ribosomal RNA", at positions 505 to 796 of the family's 1533-position model. The record is from RNAcentral.